UUCUGGCAUAUCAAUAAGUGGAGGAAAAGAAACUAACAAGGAUUCCCCUAGUAACGGCGAGUGAAGCGGGAAGAGCUCAAAUUUAAAAUCUGGCAGUCUACGAUUGUCCGAAUUGUAAUCUCGAGAAGUGUUUUCCGCGUUGGCCUGUGCACAAGUCCCUUGGAACAGGGCGUCAUAGAGGGUGAGAAUCCCGUCCUUGGCACAGAUACCCAAUGCUUUGUGAUACACUCUCAAUGAGUCGAGUUGUUUGGGAAUGCAGCUCAAAAUGGGAGGUAAAUUCCUUCUAAAGCUAAAUACUGGCGAGAGACCGAUAGCGAACAAGUACCGUGAGGGAAAGAUGAAAAGCACUUUGGAAAGAGAGUCAAACAGUACGUGAAAUUGUUGAAAGGGAAACGAUUGAAGUCAGUCGUGCCUGCCUAGAUUCAGCCUUCUGGUGUAUUUCUAGGUCGGCAGGUCAGCAUCAGUUUGGGAGGGUUAACAAGGGGAUUAGGAAUGUGGCAACCUCGGUUGUGUUAUAGCCUAGUUUCGUAUUGAUCUUGCUGGACUGAGGAACGCAGUGCGCCCGCAAGGGUAGGUCUUCGGACACUUUCGCACUUAGGAUGCUGCUAGCAUUAGUG
RNAcentral lists this ribosomal RNA (617 nucleotides) under Cystofilobasidium capitatum. Its description in RNAcentral is "partial large subunit ribosomal RNA". It matches the Rfam family "Eukaryotic large subunit ribosomal RNA", at positions 33 to 640 of the family's 3401-position model. Lineage: Eukaryota; Fungi; Basidiomycota; Tremellomycetes; Cystofilobasidiales; Cystofilobasidiaceae. The record is from RNAcentral.